ACACGGUUGUUUAGCCUGGGUAUACCGGGUAUACCCAUGCUGCCUUGCGCGUGAUUUCAUUUCGCACUGCUAGGCAGCCUGGAUCCCAUGGAUCCGAUUUUCGCCUGAGAUAGGGAACCAAUCACAGAACGGGGAGAGACGACAAGACGAUGACGACGUCUAUGCGACACACCAAAGUUUGUAGUUUACGGAUCCAAAAUGGCAGCGCGGACGCGUUACCUUUCGAUGCAGCGAUAUAUCUCUCUCUAUAGCUCUGGAUAUAUAUAUUAACUAGAUGACUCGUCCGCGGUGCUGGCCAAUGGAGUCGAACGUCACCACUGGCGGCCAUCCUUCCACAGGGAAGUGGCUCUUUCGUCGCCGCCAUGCGGUCAGCCGGCACGACGUUAGGAUGUGCGUUGCCACGCUGAGCAGCAUCAGGAAGAUGGUCAUCGACAUCACGAUCACAUAGUGGCUGAUGCUACCAACAGAAGAGGAAGCCACAGGGACACAGGCUAGUGAGAGCCCGCCCAUGAUGAAGGGGUUGAAGACGGUGAGGAAGCAGUACACAGACGCCGGGUCAAAGCUGGGCACAUAGAAGGAAGUGACAUCAUCUUCGUGUUAUCUUACAUGACGUACCCGAUGCAAAUUCUACAACCUUGUUUUCUCAUAAAGAUGUGUCACUCCUGUGCGUCACACACAGGCCGUGUGAGGCCGUCCAGCGAUUCACUUUGGCGUUUCACGUCUGAUCUUGUUGAUUGAUUGAAAUUGAUAAAAUAUGUUUCCAAAUAUGGCCGCAGCCUUUAUGUCUUUCAAAAC
Gadus chalcogrammus (walleye pollock) is the source of this 795-nucleotide long non-coding RNA. RefSeq lists it as uncharacterized. The transcript has 3 exons. The record is from RefSeq and is a predicted model, not a curated record. Lineage: Eukaryota; Metazoa; Chordata; Actinopteri; Gadiformes; Gadidae.